UGUGGUUUAUAUGUGGCCGUGUGAGACUGAGUGUUAUCUGUAGUCGUUUUGUUGACUCCUAUUGUGCAAGGUGGUGCUUUCCACAAGCUGUACCAUCUCCAGUAACAGGCGGAACAGAUGUAGCAGUUUUGAGUCGAGUCCGAGGACGGCAGACCGAAGUCUAGGAUGGUCCCAUCCUCGUGCGCUGCCAUUCCUACCUGCGAGAACGGAUCAAGCAUAUCCAGGUGGCUGUUUAUGCUGACCCGUACCGUUCCUGUGUGUCUUCAUGUGGCACUUGAGGCUGGACUUCUGGUUGAAGCACCGUCCGCAGAUGUGGCAUCCGUAGGGCUUCUCGCCCGUGUGGAUGCGCAGGUGUCGCUCCAGGUGGCCGGCGCGCACAAACAUCUUACCGCAGUAUGAGCAGAAGAAACACUUCUUGGGCCGGGACCCCUGGCUUUGGAGGGAAGUCGAAGGUGCUGCAAGAGGCUUCAACGUGAGGCGGGAUAAGCUGCAUCACGCUCUCCUCAACAGGUUCCGACUUGAUCGUUGGCGUGCGGGACAAUUCCGGACGGUUGGUGGAAACACGCUCGGCUGUGGAAGUGAUGUCUCCCUCUGCUGGACGACGGCUGUCGGUGCUCGGAUGCUUUGAUGGGUACCCUUGGAUGUCAGCUGGUGCUGACUGAAGACCUGCAAGGAGAGAUCAAUAAAUGGAGAACAGAACCCAGCCAAGGGAGAAGAUUUCUGCAACAGUGUCCAUUUUCAUACAGCCACACGGCAUCCCACAAUCCGAAAAGUAGGGAUGGGCCAGUACCGAUACUAGGUAUCGAUAUCAGGCCUUAUUUCAAAGUAAUGGGUACUCAUUAGGGCUGCACGAUAUUGGAAGAAAAUUACAUGGUGAUUUUUUUUCAACCUGCGUGAAAUAAUACAGGAUCAGUGUUGGGAAAGUUCAUUUUCUAUGCGAACUAGUUCAAAGUUCAGUUUAUCGUUCCAAAAAUAAUAAUGACAUAAUAAAUAAAUAAUUCCAAAUUUUGAACUAA
This is a long non-coding RNA of Phycodurus eques (leafy seadragon), 1016 nucleotides long. RefSeq lists it as uncharacterized. The transcript has 5 exons. The record is from RefSeq and is a predicted model, not a curated record. Lineage: Eukaryota; Metazoa; Chordata; Actinopteri; Syngnathiformes; Syngnathidae.